RNAcentral lists this ribosomal RNA (515 nucleotides) under uncultured bacterium. RNAcentral's name for it is "partial 16S ribosomal RNA". It matches the Rfam family "Bacterial small subunit ribosomal RNA", at positions 28 to 523 of the family's 1533-position model. The record is from RNAcentral.
GAUGAACGCUGGCGGCGUGCCUAAUACAUGCAAGUCGAGCGAAUGGAUUAAGAGCUUGCUCUUAUGAAGUUAGCGGCGGACGGGUGAGUAACACGUGGGUAACCUGCCCAUAAGACUGGGAUAACUCCGGGAAACCGGGGCUAAUACCGGAUAACAUUUUGAACCGCAUGGUUCGAAAUUGAAAGGCGGCUUCGGCUGUCACUUAUGGAUGGACCCGGGUCGCAUUAGCUAGUUAGUGAGGUAACGGCUCACCAAGGCAACGAUGCGUAGCCGACCUGAGAGGGUGAUCGGCCACACUGGGACUGAGACACGGCCCAGACUCCUACGGGAGGCAGCAGUAGGGAAUCUUCCGCAAUGGACGAAAGUCUGACGGAGCAACGCCGCGUGAGUGAUGAAGGCUUUCGGGUCGUAAAGCUCUGUUGUUAGGGAAGAACAAGUGCUAGUUGAAUAAGCUGGCACCUUGACGGUACCUAACCAGAAAGCCACGGCUAACUACGUGCCAGCAGCCGCCGUAA